RNAcentral lists this long non-coding RNA (1141 nucleotides) under Rhinopithecus bieti (black snub-nosed monkey). Its description in RNAcentral is "lncRNA (ENSRBIG00000046307.1)". The record is from RNAcentral. Lineage: Eukaryota; Metazoa; Chordata; Mammalia; Primates; Cercopithecidae.
CCUGACUACUGCUUCCUGGUCUGGGGAAUAGAGUUGGAGGGGCCACCCUUAGUCACCUGAAUUUGACCCUCUCCACAGCAACAACAGAAGAAACAAAUGGAACGUCAGCUGGAAGAAGUAAUGUGAUUUCUUUGUUUGCUCACAACAUGACUGCUGGGUUUGGGGGACAGUCAGAUGUAGAGUGGCCAGUCUCAUCUCACCCACUUCCAGCCUGGGGAAGAAGGCUCACCCCUCAGAUUCCAUCCCAUCUCCAUAGGGUCCCUGAUAACUUAGUCCCAUGAGUGGACCUGUCCUGGGGCAUUGGUGGCAUUCUGGGGGUAUGUCUCUUGCUGCGCUCUCUCUACCUCCCCAUGGUAAGAGCUCUGUCUUCCUCUUCCUACAGGAAAAGAAAGCAAACAAGGAAAUACACAGAGCACAAACGGAGCAGUUAGAGACAAUCAACAUCCUCACAUUGGAAAAGGCAGACUUGAAGACCACCCUUUACCAUACUAAACGUGCCGCCAGACACUUCGAAGGAGAGUCCAAGGAUCUGGCUAGCCACCUGCAAUCCUCCUUACAGCGUAUUCAAGAAUUGGAGCAGGCUCUCUCUGCUGUGUCUACACAGCAGCAGGAAGAGGACAGGGUGAGUCCAACCAGCUGCCCCAUCCCUUUGCAACCUGGCUUGACAGAUAGAGGAGUGAGCCUAAAGGUCUCUGCUGCAGGAUGCAGUGUCCUGCCCAGAAGGCAGCAGGAUCAUUUCAAGCUGCUUUUGUGUAUGGUUGUUAGAGGCAGCCUGGGGCUAAGUCAGCUACUGUGGGUAAGUUGGGGGCGCUGUGGGGAGUGAGCACUGGAUACAGAGCUCAGAGGCCAAGUGCCUGCCCUGCCCUUACCUGGCUGUGGCCUUGGCCAAAUCCUAGGUGGGGUAUUGGGUACUUGUACUGUGAAGGUACAGAAGAGUACCUUUAGUACGUUACCAUUUCUGUAGAGAGAGGAAAGGUGUGUGUGUGUGUGUGUGUGUGUGUACUAUGAUAAUGUACAUAAAACAUGUCUGCAAGUGUUUGUAAAAAAACUCAGGAGAGAGUAACAGGGUGCUCGGGAGACACUUCCCUUCUGUACCUUCUGAGUUUUGGACUAUGCGAAUGUAUCAUCCUUUCAAAAAGCA